RNAcentral lists this unclassified non-coding RNA (335 nucleotides) under soil metagenome. RNAcentral describes it as "partial contains 5.8S ribosomal RNA, internal transcribed spacer 2, and large subunit ribosomal RNA". The stretch from base 1 to 120 matches the Rfam family "5.8S ribosomal RNA", at positions 35 to 154 of the family's 154-position model. The record is from RNAcentral.
GAUGAAGAACGUAGCGAAAUGCGAUACGUAAUGUGAAUUGCAGAUUUCAGUGAAUCAUCGAAUCUUUGAACGCACAUUGCGCCCGCUAGUAUUCUGGCGGGCAUGCCUGUUCGAGCGUCAUUUCAACCAUCAAGCCCUGUGCUUGUGUUGGAGCCCUGCGGCUGCCGCAGGCUCCCAAACCCAGUGGCGGGCUCGUCGUCGUACCGAGUGCAGUAAACAUACCACGCUCAGGGCACGCGACGGGUGACCGGCCGUAAAACCCCCCCCCUUCUCAAGGUUGACCUCGGAUCAGGUAGGAAUACCCGCUGAACUUAAGCAUAUCAAUAAGCGGAGGA